Molecule: long non-coding RNA, 310 nt
Organism: Papaver somniferum (opium poppy)
Lineage: Eukaryota; Viridiplantae; Streptophyta; Magnoliopsida; Ranunculales; Papaveraceae
Exons: 4
Source: RefSeq, a predicted model, not a curated record
GGUAUUUAACUUACGGUUACACCCAUGCCUACUGAGGUUACACCAAUGUUUAUCUAUAAACAUCAAAAUUUUGCUUCAGGGUAUAUAAUGGCUUUAUCUUUAGCAGCCUGAUGGAUGCAUCAGUUACCCCUCUGCUAUGCCUAGGAGCUGGAGCAUGUGUUGGAAUAAUAGUCAUGUCAGCAACUUACCCAAUGGAUCUGGUGAAAGGCAGGCUUACUGUCCAGAUAGACGUGUCUCCUUCCCAGUACAGGGGAAUUGCACAUACCUUAUCAACCGUCCUUCGGGAGGAAGGCUCACUAUGUCUAUAUAA